AACUUUAUUACUGCACUCAAACUCCUCCCUCAAGAAAAUAACCCUCACUUUAUCAAUUUGGAACCCUCAAAAACUCAGAACUCCUUCGCUUCCGUCGUGCUACGCGCUUCUCCAUCGGACGUCAAAUCUCGCCGGAAUUAGGUCAAAGGAGAGAGAAAAACAAUGGAGUGGGUCAGAGAUCAAGUCGAUGCUAUCAAUUCAGAUCAGACAACUUCUCAAUCAAGCUGCUAGUCAUGAGGAAUUGAGCAAUGUUCAAAUUCUGAAUUUCGAAAUUCUGCAUUUGUUGAAGUUGAUGGCGUGCAAUCGAAGGAUUUAGUAAAUUGUAAUCGAAUUCGAUAGCUUUAGUGGAAGAAUCCUGUGAAGUUAGGAUUUGCAUGCCUGCUCUUGCUGGAAAGGCCGGGAAAAGAAUGGAUACCCUUUUGGUGCCCUUGGAGCUGUUAUGCUGUAUUUCACGCACAGAAUUCUCUGACAAAAAGGCAUACAUACGGUGGCAGAAAAGACAGUGUAGUUAAACAUGUUGGAGGAGGGGCUGAUUAAUCAUCCUGUUGUCGGUUUUGGAGAAUCCGGAAGGAAGGCCAAUGAAAUUAGGAUUCUUCUAGCUAAAAUUGAGGAAUAUGAGUAGUCUGAACUUUUGGAUGACAAAUUUAGGUGUUGAAGCAGCUUCACCUUGAAGCUCAUGAACUUACGCUUCACGAUGAUGAUAUUGAGAGGGUUCAAAGGCCUUGGGAACUUGUCCCUGCCGAUCAUAAGAUAGGAAAGCCACGUCCUUUGUUCAGGAAAUUGGUAUGCUAGAUUGAGACUACUCUUUGCUGUUGCCCAAGUAGUGGCACAACUUUUGACUACAUAAGUGUCACACCUCCAUACAUGGAAGUGGAUUAUGGGUUACUUAUGACCCAAGUAUGGGAUUCAUCCUUGGUUGGAGAAGAUACUUUUAUUGUAAGCUUUGCAUAUCUCA
Beta vulgaris subsp. vulgaris (sugar beet) is the source of this 955-nucleotide RNA transcript. It is a transcript of the gene named protein unc-13 homolog, with no coding region annotated. Lineage: Eukaryota; Viridiplantae; Streptophyta; Magnoliopsida; Caryophyllales; Amaranthaceae. The transcript is spliced from 5 exons. The record is from RefSeq and is a predicted model, not a curated record.